This 819-nucleotide ribosomal RNA is filed under the name Triticum aestivum (bread wheat). RNAcentral describes it as "partial small subunit ribosomal RNA". Lineage: Eukaryota; Viridiplantae; Streptophyta; Magnoliopsida; Poales; Poaceae. The record is from RNAcentral.
AUGGAUGAGGUCACAAGGGGUAUACAAGGAGAUAUCCCAUGGUGUAUGCUCUUUGCGGAUGAUGUGGUGCUAGUUGACGAUAGUCGGACGGGGGUAAAUAGGAAGUUAGAGUUAUGGAGACAAACCUUGGAAUCGAAAGGGUUUAGGCUUAGUAGAACUAAAACCGAGUACAUGAUGUGUGGUUUCAGUACUACUAGCUGUGAGGAGGAGGAGGUUAGCCUUGAUGGCCAGGUGGUACCUCGGAAGGACACCUUUCGGUAUUUGGGGUCAAUGUUGCAGGAGGAUGGGGGUAUUGAUGAAGAUGUGAACCAUCGAAUCAAAGCCGGAUGGAUGAAGUGGCGCCAAGCUUCUGGCAUUCUCUGUGACAAGAGAGUGCCACAAAAGCUAAAAGGCAAGUUCUACAGGACGGCGGUUCGACCCGUAAUGUUGUAUGGCGCGGAGUGUUGGCCGACUAAAAGGCGACAUGUUCAACAGUUAGGUGUGGCGGAGAUGCGUAUGUUGAGAUGGAUGUGUGGCCACACGAGGAAGGAUCGAGUCCGGAAUGAUGAUAUACGAGAUAGAGUUGGGGUAGCACCAAUUGAGGAGAAGCUUGUCCAACAUCGUUUGAGAUGGUUUGGGCAUAUUCAGCGCAGGCCUCCAGAAGCUCCAGUGCAUAGCGGACGGCUAAAGCGUGCGGAGAAUGUCAAGAGAGGGCGGGGUCGACCGAUUUUGACAUGGGAGGAGUCCGUUAAGAGAGACCUGAAGGAUUGGAGUAUCGACAAAGAGCUAGCUAUGGACAGGGGUGCGUGGAAGCUUGCUAUCCAUGUGCCAGAGCCAUGA